UAGUACGGCGAGUGAGAGGGAAGAGCCCAAGAUUGAAAGCUGGCGUCUUCGGCGUCCGCAUUGUAAUCUCAAGAAGUGUUUUCCGCUUCGGACCAGGCCUAAGUCCCUUGGAAAAGGGCAUCAUAGAGGGUGAUAAUCCCGUACAUGGCCUGGAGCGCCCGAAGCUUUGUGAUACACUUUCUAAGAGUCGAGUUGUUUGGGAAUGCAGCUCAAAAUGGGUGGUAAAUGCCAUCUAAGGCUAAAUAUUGGGGAGAGACCGAUAGCGAACAAGUACAGUGAUGGAAAGAUGAAAAGAACUUUGAAAAGAGAGUUAAACAGUACGUGAAAUUGCCAAAAGGGAAGGGUAGGAGGUCAGAGAUGCGGCCUGGGAUUCAGCCUUGCUUUUGCUUGGUGUUUUUCCUAGGUUGCAGGCCAACGUCGGUUUUGGGCACUGGAGAAGGGUAGGAGGAACGUGGCACCCCUCGGGGUGUGUUAUAGCCUCCUGCUGGAUACAGCGACCGGGACCGAGGACAGCAGCGUACUCGCAAGAGCGGGCCUUCGGGCACCUUUACGCUUAGGGCGUUGGCAUAAUGGCCCUCUACCACCCGUCUUGA
RNAcentral lists this ribosomal RNA (593 nucleotides) under Moesziomyces aphidis. Its description in RNAcentral is "eukaryotic LSU rRNA". It matches the Rfam family "Eukaryotic large subunit ribosomal RNA", at positions 81 to 657 of the family's 3401-position model. Lineage: Eukaryota; Fungi; Basidiomycota; Ustilaginomycetes; Ustilaginales; Ustilaginaceae. The record is from RNAcentral.